GAUGAAGAACGUAGCGAAAUGCGAUAAGUAAUGUGAAUUGCAGAAUUCAGUGAAUCAUCGAAUCUUUGAACGCACAUUGCGCCCUCUGGUAUUCCGGGGGGCAUGCCUGUUCGAGCGUCAUUAUAACCACUCAAGCUCUCGCUUGGUAUUGGAGCUCGCGAUCUCGCGGCUCCUAAAAUCAGUGGCGGUGCCUGUCGGCUCUACGCGUAGUAAUACUCCUCGCGAUUGAGUCCGGUAGGUUUACUUGCCAGCAACCCCCAAUUUUUACAGGUUGACCUCGGAUCAGGUAGGGAUACCCGCUGAACUUAAGCAUAUCAAUAAGCGGAGGA
RNAcentral lists this unclassified non-coding RNA (329 nucleotides) under soil metagenome. RNAcentral describes it as "partial contains 5.8S ribosomal RNA, internal transcribed spacer 2, and large subunit ribosomal RNA". The stretch from base 1 to 120 matches the Rfam family "5.8S ribosomal RNA", at positions 35 to 154 of the family's 154-position model. The record is from RNAcentral.